UUCCUGUGACAACCUGACCAC
RNAcentral lists this unclassified non-coding RNA (21 nucleotides) under Mus musculus (house mouse). RNAcentral describes it as "oocyte_clustered_small_RNA6574". The record is from RNAcentral. Lineage: Eukaryota; Metazoa; Chordata; Mammalia; Rodentia; Muridae.